This 406-nucleotide ribosomal RNA is filed under the name uncultured bacterium. RNAcentral describes it as "partial 16S ribosomal RNA". It matches the Rfam family "Bacterial small subunit ribosomal RNA", at positions 30 to 526 of the family's 1533-position model. The record is from RNAcentral.
AUUGAACGCUGGCGGCAGGCCUAACACAUGCAAGUCGAACGAGUGGCGGACGGGUGAGUAAUGUAUGGGAAACUGCCUGAUGGAGGGGGAUAACUACUGGAAACGGUAGCUAAUACCGCAUACCAUCAGAUGUGCCCAGAUGGGAUUAGCUAGUUGGUGGGGUAACGGCUCACCAAGGCGACGAUCCCUAGCUGGUCUGAGAGGAUGAUCAUCCAAACUGGAACUGAGACACGGUCCAGACUCCUACGGUAGGCAGCAGUGGGGAAUAUUGGACAAUGGGCGCAAGCCUGAUGCAGCCAUGCCGCGUGUGUGAAGAAGGUCUUCGGAUUGUAAAGCACUUUCAGCGGGGAGGCGUUACCAACAGAAGAAGCACCGGCUAACUUCGUGCCAGCAGCCGCGGUAAUUC